CAGCCGCCGCGGUAAUACGUAGGUGGCAAGCGUUGUCCGGAUUUAUUGGGCGUAAAGCGAGCGCAGGCGGUCAAUUAAGUCUGAUGUGAAAGCCCCCGGCUCAACCGGGGAGGGUCAUUGGAAACUGGUUGACUUGAGUGCAGAAGAGGAGAGUGGAAUUCCAUGUGUAGCGGUGAAAUGCGUAGAUAUAUGGAGGAACACCAGUGGCGAAGGCGACUCUCUGGUCUGUAACUGACGCUGAGGCUCGAAAGCGUGGGUAGCAAACAGGAUUAGAUACCCCGGUAGUCCCUGUCUCUUAUAC
Molecule: ribosomal RNA, 301 nt
Filed under: uncultured bacterium
Lineage: Bacteria
Description: partial 16S ribosomal RNA
Rfam family: Bacterial small subunit ribosomal RNA
Source: RNAcentral